UGUGAAAUUUUUAAGGGAAAGAUAAUUAGGAGGAAUAAAAUGUAGAGAUAGUAAGCUACAGAUUAAAAACAGUGAACUGUAAUUGCGAGACCAACAUAGCCCUGUGAUAAGUAAGGUUUCUAGUAAGACCAUGAAGGUUAUGUUUCAACUCUUACGGCUUACCAAGUUACUCUGCUCGGGUAGAGACUCCGAUUGGUAGUAUAGUAAAUGUAUCAGUGAUCCACUACUUCUCAUGUCACAGUGCAAGAUGGUUUUACGUGUACAGGUAACACUGUAAAAACGAAAGUCAAGAGUUAGACAAGGAGAUUAAGAUUCAUUAUACCUUCACAAUCAGAUGGCAAUCCAUGGGACCUGUAACAGCUCUUAUACCCUAAAGUUUAAUCAGGUUAGUUAGGCACCAACAAAGAAAAACAAGUAGGCUGUUGUGCCAAUCAAACAGGUAAUCAUACAUCAAGAAUUGAGUCAACAUUUGAAGGGGCAGAAACAUCAGUACAGAUAGCUGCAAUCAGCAUCCAUUUUCCCAAACAAAUCCAGCACCGGCAGGUUCAUGGCCAUUUUCACCACCUAAAUUAGAAAAUUUUCAAGACGCAAUGUUAAACUGGACUUGGGUUAGAACCAGAUUCCGAGGUUAUGUGCCAAAUUUGGGUUAGAGAUUCCUGAGCUACUGUUUAGUCACGCAUAUUCCUGAAUAAUUAUUCAUAAGAACUAAUGGACUCCUUAAAAGCUUAUUUAGUUAUAAGUGGAAUCACUAGCAGAAACUUCACUCAGGUGAGGCGAGAAAGGAAUGCACAAAGGGGCACUGGGCAACUCAUGAAAUGCAAUUUCUAAUUUUGCCAUUACACAAAUUAGAAUAAUAUGUGAAGCUCCAUGAGAAUAUUAAUUUAGCGAUACUCCUGUUCUAGAAUUGAAAUAGAGGCAUCAGGUAUAAUCCAAGUUUGCCUGAUAUGACUGCAACUUUGUUCAAAUUUCCAUCUGAAAUAUCAAAUAUCAUCCCACAACCUUAACAUGUCUUAGGGCAUACAGGAGAAAAUGUUACAGUGGAUUUCAGAAAACUAUCAUCUUAGUAAGGCAACAGGAUAAAUAAAAACAGCGAACAAAUUGACAACCUAAAACAAAUAAUAUAAGUGCUUCCUCUGUAAUAGAUUAAGUUUUUAUCACACAAUUCAACACGACAUGUCGACAUUGAUAUCAAGAUAGGCAGACAUCCUAAGUCCAACUCUCAAACCCAUCAACAGAAAUGUUUCCACAUGAUUGAUUCAAGAAAAAUAAUUAAACCACACAUGUGAGAGGAUGUGUUUACAACCUAAAAUAAAUAAACGUCCCUUCUUUUUAAUAGUUAAACUUUGAAAUGAGAGGAUCACACAAUUCAUCAAACGAAAUCACUAAAAAUGGAUCACCUCAGGAAAACGAGCUGGAUAUGGCAAACCGCGGCAAAACUUGGCAGAACUCUGACUGUCACAACAUCUGCAAUCACUUCACUUUAAUAACUAUAGCAUAUGAAAUUUUAUUUAAAAACUGCAUUGCAUGACAUAAGCUUCACAAAUACCUACAUAAAUUUAUGCACAAUACAAUAAAUUACAAAGGCACUAAUCUUAUAAAUGCUAUGAGGAAGCAUAUAGAUAUUCCUUAGUUGGCCAACAUUUGAAAUUGUUUCCGAGUUAGAACAUUUCAUUAUCUUCCGGUUUCUAAAUGCUCCUAAGGUUUUGCACCACAUAGAAAAGGAGUCGUUCUAGUAAAUUACCUAAAAGUACUUUUACUAUAUGCACAGUCUGUUCUUCACUCUCCGGUGCCGGCGAUGAAAACAAUAAUGUCAGAUUUUUCUCUUCUUUACCUUUUAUUUACGGCAUACUCAAACGAGUCAAUCAUCCAAGGAGAAAGGCGAUGCAUGCAAAAAUUAGGAUAUCUUAGCUCGAAUUCGAACGAAAUAGAGUUAGCUAACGAAAAUGGAGGGCAAGAGAGGAAGGGAUUAUUCAGGGUUA
This 1979-nucleotide long non-coding RNA is filed under the name Nicotiana tabacum (common tobacco). RNAcentral describes it as "long non-coding RNA (NTAB_LNC018453)". Lineage: Eukaryota; Viridiplantae; Streptophyta; Magnoliopsida; Solanales; Solanaceae. The record is from RNAcentral.